This 922-nucleotide ribosomal RNA is filed under the name Topeliopsis subdenticulata. RNAcentral's name for it is "eukaryotic LSU rRNA". It matches the Rfam family "Eukaryotic large subunit ribosomal RNA", at positions 139 to 1083 of the family's 3401-position model. The record is from RNAcentral. Lineage: Eukaryota; Fungi; Ascomycota; Lecanoromycetes; Ostropales; Graphidaceae.
CGAGUUGUAAUUUGCAGAAGGUGCUUCGGGUGCGGCGGGGGUUCAAGUUCCUUGGAACAGGGCGUCAUAGAGGGUGAGAACCCCGUAAAUGACCAACCGCCAACCCCGUGUGAAGCCCUUUCGACGAGUCGAGUUGUUUGGGAAUGCAGCUCUAAAUGGGUGGUAAAUUUCAUCUAAGGCUAAAUACCUGCCAGAGACCGAUAGCGCACAAGUAGAGUGAUCGAAAGAUGAAAAGCACUUUGAAAAGAGAGUCAAACAGUACGUGAAAUUGUUAAAAGGGAAGCGCUUGCAACCAGACUCGCUCGCGGGUGUUCAGCCGUCCCCAGGGACGGUGCAUUCUCCCGCGAUCGGGCCAGCAUCGGUUUUGGCGGCCGGACAAAGGCCUUGGGAACGUAGCUCUCUUCGGGGAGUGUUAUAGCCCGGGGUGCAAUGCGGCCUGCCGGGACCGAGGACCGCGCUUUUGCUAGGAUGCUGGCUUAAUGGCUGCCAGCGACCCGUCUUGAAACACGGACCAAGGAGUCGACCUACCGCGCGAGUGUUUGGGCGUUAAACCCAUGCGCGUAAUGAAAGUGAACGGAGGUGGGAGCCCUUUGGGUGCACCAUCGACCGAUCCUGAUGUCUUCGGAUGGAUUUGAGUACGAGCGCCGUGGGUCGGACCCGAAAGAUGGUGAUCUAUACGUGAAUAGGGUGAAGCCAGAGGAAACUCUGGUGGAGGCUCGCAGCGGUUCUGACGUGCAAAUCGAUCGUCAAAUUUGCGUAUAGGGGCGAAAGACUAAUCGAACCGUCUAGUAGCUGGUUCCUGUCGAAGUUUCCCUCAGGAUAGCAGUAACGAAAACAGUCUCAUGAGGUAGAGCAACGAUUAGAGGCCUUGGGGUUGAAACAACCUUAACCUAUUCUCGAACUUCGAAUAUGUGAGAAGUCC